AUUGAACGCUGGCGGCAUGCCUUACACAUGCAAGUCGAACGGUAGCGCGGGGCAACCUGGCGACGAGUGGCGAACGGGUGAGUAAAGCAUCGGAACGUGCCCUGGAAUGGGGGGAUAACGUAGCGAAAGUUACGCUAAUACCGCAUAUUCUGUGAGCAGGAAAGCAGGGGAUCGCAAGACCUUGCGUUCUGGGAGCGGCCGAUGUCGGAUUAGCUAGUUGGUGGGGUAAAAGCCUACCAAGGCGACGAUCCGUAGCGGGUCUGAGAGGAUGAUCCGCCACACUGGGACUGAGACACGGCCCAGACUCCUACGGGAGGCAGCAGUGGGGAAUUUUGGACAAUGGGCGGAAGCCUGAUCCAGCCAUGCCGCGUGAGUGAAGAAAGCCUUCGGGUUGUAAAGCUCUUUCGGUGGGGAAGAAAUUGCACGGGUUAAUACCCUGUGUAGAUGACGGUACCCGACUAAGAAGCACCGG
RNAcentral lists this ribosomal RNA (472 nucleotides) under uncultured bacterium. RNAcentral describes it as "bacterial SSU rRNA". It matches the Rfam family "Bacterial small subunit ribosomal RNA", at positions 29 to 496 of the family's 1533-position model. The record is from RNAcentral.